RNAcentral lists this ribosomal RNA (700 nucleotides) under uncultured bacterium. RNAcentral describes it as "bacterial SSU rRNA". It matches the Rfam family "Bacterial small subunit ribosomal RNA", at positions 78 to 774 of the family's 1533-position model. The record is from RNAcentral.
UGCUGCUUCGCUGACGAGUGGCGCAUGGGUGAGUAAUGUCUGGGGAUCUGCCCGAUGGAGGGGGAUAACCACUGGAAACGGUGGCUAAUACCGCAUAACGUCGCAAGACCAAAGUGGGGGACCUUCGGGCCUCACACCAUCGGAUGAACCCAGAUGGGAUUAGCUAGUAGGUGGGGUAACGGCUCACCUAGGCGACGAUCCCUAGCUGGUCUGAGAGGAUGACCAGCCACACUGGAACUGAGACACGGUCCAGACUCCUACGGGAGGCAGCAGUGGGGAAUAUUGCACAAUGGGCGCAAGCCUGAUGCAGCCAUGCCGCGUGUAUGAAGAAGGCCUUCGGGUUGUAAAGUACUUUCAGCGGGGAGGAAGGGAUGGUGCUUAAUACGCGCCGUCAUUGACGUUACCCGCAGAAGAAGCACCGGCUAACUCCGUGCCAGCAGCCGCGGUAAUACGGAGGGUGCAAGCGUUAAUCGGAAUUACUGGGCGUAAAGCGCACGCAGGCGGUCUGUUAAGUCAGAUGUGAAAUCCCCGGGCUUAACCUGGGAACUGCAUUUGAAACUGGCAGGCUUGAGUCUCGUAGAGGGGGGUAGAAUUCCAGGUGUAGCGGUGAAAUGCGUAGAGAUCUGGAGGAAUACCGGUGGCGAAGGCGGCCCCCUGGACGAAGACUGACGCUCAGGUGCGAAAGCGUGGGGAGCAAACA